Molecule: ribosomal RNA, 93 nt
Filed under: Candidatus Latescibacterota bacterium
Lineage: Bacteria; Pseudomonadati; Candidatus Latescibacterota
Also listed under: 1 other name
Source: RNAcentral
ACACCCGUUCCCAUUCCGAACACGGUAGUUAAGCCCUCCAGCGCCGAUGGUACUGUACGGGUGACCGUAUGGGAGAGUAGGACGCCGCCGGAU